Molecule: long non-coding RNA, 558 nt
Filed under: Nicotiana tabacum (common tobacco)
Lineage: Eukaryota; Viridiplantae; Streptophyta; Magnoliopsida; Solanales; Solanaceae
Description: long non-coding RNA (NTAB_LNC003748)
Source: RNAcentral
UUUUUUCAUCCUCAUUCUCCAGGUGGACGCCUGACUUCUUCUUAAAUUCUUCAUCCUCAUUCUCCAGGUGGACGCCUGACUUCUUCUUUAAUUCUUCAUCCUCAUUCUCCAGGUGGACGCCUGACUUCUUCUUCAAUAUUUUUUUUUCAUCCUCAUUCUCCAGGUGGACGCUUGACUUCUUCUUUUCUUUUUCCUUCGCUCUGCUUUGUUCUUGCUUGCUGGGGAUAAUACCACUACGGUAGUUUUCUUUCUUCCCCUCCUUCAAAUUCAAUUUUUUUUUUCUCUUUUUUUUUCCAGAAUUUAUUUUCUCUCAACACUGCUGGGGAUAAAAGUGUUAUCUUCUUGGGAUAACGUCGUUGAGGAUAACGUUGCUGGGGAAUUUUAUCCCUUCAAAUCGAUGCUUCAUUCUUCUGGAAGCUCCUAGGGAUGAUAAUGGCUUUUGUUUUUCUGAGCACAAAUGUCAUCCCUUUGUUCUGUCUGCUGGGGAACAACUUCCUCCAUUGAAACUUAUUAUGUUGGGGGCAACCCUGGUUCAAAGACCACUUCCCUUGAGACUGG